RNAcentral lists this ribosomal RNA (301 nucleotides) under uncultured bacterium. RNAcentral describes it as "partial 16S ribosomal RNA". It matches the Rfam family "Bacterial small subunit ribosomal RNA", at positions 509 to 809 of the family's 1533-position model. The record is from RNAcentral.
CAGCCGCCACGGUAAUACGUAGGUGGCAAGCGUUGUCCGGAUUUACUGGGCGUAAAGCGAACGCAGGCGGACUGUUAAGUAGGAAGUGAAAGGUCGGAGCUCAACUCCAACAUUGCUUCCUAUACUGGCAGUCUUGAGUAGCGGAGAGGAAGGGGGAACGACACGUGUAGCGGUGAAAUGCGUUGAUAUGUGUCGGAACACCCAUGGCGAAAGCACCCUUCUGGACGCAAACUGACGCUCAGGUUCGAAAGCCAAGGUAGCGAACAGGAUUAGAUACCCCCGUAGUCCCUGUCUCUUAUAA